CAGAGGCCUCAUGUAGGCCCCUGUGAAGCCUGAACUCCAGUAGGGCCCAAGCCAGCCAGGAAGGAGGAGGCAGCCAGAGUGGCCAUCACUGUUCUCUGCAGCAGAAGACCCCUUGCUGCCAGGUUUGGACUCCCUGCCACUGGAAAUCCUCAAAACAAUAAGCAUGAACAUUUUGUAGAAAUGUUUCUUUGGAUUAGUUUUUAAUAUGGGGGCUAAGCAGGUUUGGUGUAAUUUUAAUUUGCUAUAGGAUGAAAUACCUGAUGAUCUAAUGGUAUUUUAUCCAAGUUGUUUUUGUCAUGGAAGAGUAGAAAUAUAAUAAACAAAAUUAGCAAGAAGACUGGCCAGAAUCUCUUUUCUUUUUAGGCUCCCACAAAGGUGACUGGAUGACCCAGAGUACUAUUUUUGAAUGUGGGUUAAAGGGAUUGGGGGGCGUGACCUAGGAGCUGACAAGUGCAGACAAUAAUAACCACUGCAAAUGAUAGGGAAGAAGGAAGAUGGGGGGUAGGGAUAGUGGCCCAUCAGGAAACUGUUCUAAGCUGGCUAAAUGGAUUAUCACUCUAAGCAUCCAAGCCUCAGAAAAUUCAGUGAGGCCAGUGCUACUGGUGGAAGACAUCAAAGGUCAAACAGGGUCCAGGAAAGAGAGCAGGAAGGGGUCAUAAUGUUACAGGCCAGCUCAAGGUGGGGAUGAAAAAUGGGGCUCCUCUUCACCACCAUCAUGAACCUCUCUGAACUCUGUGCAGAGAAAGAGAGGGCUGGAGAUGAGGCUGGGGCACACUGUGGAAAAAUCAGAAUGAUUUGUAUUAUCUCCCCACCUCUCAAGGGCUUAGAAAGAUUUUAAUGGACAUUUCUUAUUUUGAUAGUUACAUGGUAAUGCUCAAGACCUGCAGAUCCAGAGGUGACUGGUGUUUUGAUCCAUAAGCAACACUCAAUGGGGCUAUUCUCACAAUCGGGAAAAACUGGGCUAGGAAAGCCUAGCCUGAUUUUUCCUGAUUGUGGGAACCAACGGGCCUGGCUGCGAGCCCAGUGGUUUCUAGGUGGAUAACCCACCUAAGUGCCCCUGCCCUUAGCGAGCACUCCGCAAAACCGGGCUCUCUGAUCGUGAGUAGCUGCGGUGCAGCUCCGCGCCACGGCUACUCAUGAGUAGACCCCCGACCGGGAGGCGAAACGCCGCCUCCCAGCUCUGGGGGUCUCCCCAGUAUGCCCUGCACGCUCACACAGGGCAUACUGAGGCUUCCGGGGCUCCCCAGCCCCCGCUGGCUCCGUCACAGAGCUGGCAAUUGUGUGGGCGGCCAAUACGGCAGCCCAGGGCUUUUGCAGAGAUCGUCUGCGGGGACAGCAGGCUUGGCCCGCUCACCCUGCAGUUUCAGCAAAAGCGGGUCUCACGGACCACAAGACCCGCCUCAAUGCCUCCUUAGGCCUCUAUAUCCCUUCACAUCCAGAGCAGAGAGCCCAGCCAGUUCUUAAACCCUGUCUGGCGUGUUUCAUUCAAACCCUCCCAGCUCCUUGGCUCCUAAAUUCCCUAGGGUUCCUUCAUUAUGAUUAAGAAUAUUUAUACACCAUUUUUCAACACACACACAAAAGCUCACAAAGCAGUUUACAUAGCACAAGGAAUGAAAAGAUGGUCCUGCCAAUAGCUGCCCAAGAAAGAAACUUUCACUAACACAUAUUCUUGGGGGGUGGGGAGGCUCAGAAGUAAGUAAAGACAUAACUGAAGCGGCUGCAAAAACAAAACAAAAAAUAAACCCUAGGUUAUCAUCUCUGUGCCAAAGCUGCUGUUUCUCCUGAGAAACUGACUUGGCCAGUUGCUACACAGUUUACGAUGAGGAUGUACUCUGGCGCCUUCCAGCAUGAUGGUGUUGUGAAGAGAAAAGGAAAUUAAAGUGCCUCAUACUUCCUGUUCCCUCACAACUCUGUAUUGUUCAAAACAGAAUUUUUGCCUACACACACACACACACACACACACAGAGAGAAAUGCACGAGCAUCUCUUGGCUUGAGGUCAGUGGGGAGAGAAUGUGAAAAUUCUAUUUUGGGCAAUAUGAAGAUGUGGGGGAACAGGAUGUAUUCAACAACAUCAUCACAUAAGAAGUAGAACUCUUGAGUAAUAACAGGAACAGUUCACCCUGAGCUGAUGCUACUUGCCCAAGGAAUUGAGGAUGCAUGCACAACAGGACUCCUUUUUUAUUCCAGGUUAAUAAAAUAGACAAUAAUGACCGCAGCUUUGGUGCCAUGCUUCGUAAACUAAGGCUGCACACUCAAUAAUACUAUGAAUUAGUUACCUCUUAGUAUCACCAUCAGGGUGGUUACUGAAUGGUAAAAGAGUAGAUUCUCUUGUCCCCUUGUUAAAAGAGGAAUAAUCACAGACACACAGUAGUUUAUUUAUAGAAAUGGAGGUUCUGGGGGUCCAGCCACACUUGCCAAACUUGAAAACUGCCUCCUAAGCCCAGAUGUGUGAGCAAACUGUUGUCACUCAGAGGGUGAAGCACAGAUUCUGUAUCCGUUCGGAGCUCUCUCUUUUUUUCUCUAUUCGUUCCAGGACUCAGACCUGACUCCACUGAAGCCCAGCCCUAAACCACAGAAUGUAAACUUUAGAGACAAGCCAAGAGUAGACCUACCAGCAUUUGGUGUGCUGAGGGAGGGAAUGGUUCAAGCCGCCUACUACAGCUGGCUCUUUUGACUUGCUGAGAAGGAACUCCUGAAGUUUCAGCUUCACUUCAGUGCUGGCAAUGGCACCUGGGGAAGAUUCAGAAAAAUACUGGUGGAAAACAUACAGGCUGAACCAGUGGCAGAAAGCAUGCUUUUCUGACAUAGGGAAGAGCACUGUACAUGCCUACAGAUGCCUGAACAGAUGUACUGUACCCAAAAGGAAGAAGACCCUGAAUUUAAGAUGCCCCUACCCCUGGCAAAAUUCUAGCAUCAAAGAACUUGGGGAAAACCUAGUCUUGGAUUCAGAUAAAUACAGUACAGAUGUUUAGGUGAAUGACUUUUCCAUGUGCUCACUUCAAAAGUGAACCUGGGCACAGGCCCCCUCAAAUGCAAGGACCAAUAGGAAGUGUACUACCGUAUGUGUGUUGAACAUAACAUGUGAAUAACCAUAUACAGAUUGUACAUGCUUUGAAUGUAAUAUUUGAAUGUGGCUAAGGAUUCCAGAAAAGUAUCCCACUUCCUUAUCCUGCCCUUCACUCACUCACACAAGAGCAAGCAUUUUCCUCUCUUACUAAGAGAGAGACAAACACAAAUACUGUCAACACAGUGGUUAAUGUAUAGAAAAUGAUGGUUCUGGGGCUCUAGUCACACCUCUGAACUUGAAGGUCUGCCUCCUAGAGCACCGCAUGUGUCCCCAUGGCAACAACAACUUCCAUCAUACCAUUUCCCACUAUGCAAUGCUUCACCAGUGCACAGUAUUCUGGGAUACCUGCCUCCCCCAUCCUCACCCACCAGGCUACUCUACAGUUUGUAAUCCACUCCACCUCAAUCAAGCGCGCGUACACACACACACCCCUUCUCCUCGCUACUCUUGGAAGAAGACACAGUGGCUGUGUUAUCAAAGUGCCUCUGGAAAGCUCAGUUGUUGUGCUAUGUUUAAUUACCGUAUUUAUUCUUACCAGUUUUGUUUAUUAGGGGGUGAAGAUUACAUCAAAUACAAUACUCUAUAAAGUCCAAGCCAAACGUGAUGGUGCCUUCUCAUAUGAUGUACUAUACGAACUAGCCAUAAUUAGAAAAAAUAUCACAGACAAAGCACCAUUCAUAAUCAGAGAGGCAAUAUCUAUAUUAUAAAAUUCAGCAGCAAAGCUUUCAGGCAAUCGCAGCUCCACCCAAAUGAGCCUUGGGAACUGCAGAUUUGUAAGGCUCCUGAAAAUUUGCUCAAAAAGGUCCCCAACCCUCUCACAAAACUCCAUGGGGUUUGUGGAGAGGAGCUGCUUAUUUAAACCUUCACGGAAUGGUCCCCAAGAUACAUGGAGGUGUGGGGGCUAAGCCCAGAAGCUAAAUGAGAGUUUUAGGGGGGGGUGUAGGGUGUGUGUGUGUGUGCGUGCGCACAUGCGCUCAUUACAGCAAUUCUAAUAACACUUAAAUUUUGUUCUUAAUUUUCUUUCAUUGUAAGUUGCUUAGGGUUUCCACAAUAUAGAUAAAAACCUGUACAAUAUGUUUAAAAACAAACAUGACUUCAGUUUCUGCUAUUCCAAAAAGCUAACACUCCAGCCCCCUGCCACCCUCAAGCCCAAGUCCUCAGGUCAGGGAUGAGGUAGCCAUCUACAUACAUUUAACCCAAUAAAAACAAUGUAUUACUCUC
Molecule: long non-coding RNA, 4289 nt
Organism: Hemicordylus capensis (graceful crag lizard)
Lineage: Eukaryota; Metazoa; Chordata; Lepidosauria; Squamata; Cordylidae
Exons: 2
Source: RefSeq, a predicted model, not a curated record